GACGAACGCUGGCGACGUGCUUAACACAUGCAAGUCGAACGGAAAGGCCCUGCUUUUGUGGGGUGCUCGAGUGGCGAGCGGGUGAGUAACACGUGAGUAACCUGCCCUUGACUUUGGGAUAACUUCAGGAAACUGGGGCUAAUACCGGAUAGGAGCUCCUGCUGCAUGGUGGGGGUUGGAAAGUUUCGGCGGUUGGGGAUGGACUCGCGGCUUAUCAGCUUGUUGGUGGGGUAGUGGCUUACCAAGGCUUUGACGGGUAGCCGGCCUGAGAGGGUGACCGGCCACAUUGGGACUGAGAUACGGCCCAGACUCCUACGGGAGGCAGCAGUGGGGAAUAUUGCACAAUGGGCGGAAGCCUGAUGCAGCAACGCCGCGUGCGGGAUGACGGCCUUCGGGUUGUAAACCGCUUUCGCCUGUGACGAAGCGUGAGUGACGGUAAUGGGUAAAGAAGCACCGGCUAACUACGUG
RNAcentral lists this ribosomal RNA (468 nucleotides) under uncultured bacterium. Its description in RNAcentral is "partial 16S ribosomal RNA". It matches the Rfam family "Bacterial small subunit ribosomal RNA", at positions 28 to 507 of the family's 1533-position model. The record is from RNAcentral.